CAGCCGUAAACUAUGCGCGUUAGGUGUACUGGUGACCACGAGUCACCGGGGUGCCGAAGGGAAACCGUGAAACGUGCCGCCUGGGAAGUACGGUCGCAAGGCUGAAACUUAAAGGAAUUGGCGGGGGAGCGCCACAACGGGUGGAGCCUGCGGUUUAAUUGGACUCAACGCCGGAAAUCUCACCGGAUAGGACAGACAUAUGAUAGUCGGGCUGAAGACUCUACUUGAUGAUCUGAGAGGAGGUGCAUGGCGUCAGUG
This 258-nucleotide ribosomal RNA is filed under the name uncultured archaeon. RNAcentral describes it as "partial 16S ribosomal RNA". It matches the Rfam family "Archaeal small subunit ribosomal RNA", at positions 748 to 1005 of the family's 1478-position model. The record is from RNAcentral.